CUGGGCUCGAAAUGCAGAUGACCAUCGGCGAAAGUCGACUUCCGCAAGGACAUCUGUAUAGGUGCUGCAUGGCUGUCGUCAGCUCGUGUCGUGAGAUGUUGGGUUAAGUCCCGCAACGAGCGCAACCCUUGUUCUCUGUUGCCAUCAGGUCAAGCUGGGCACUCUGAGGAGACUGCCGGUGACAAACCGGAGGAAGGUGGGGAUGACGUCAAGUCAGCAUGGCCUUUAUGUCCAGGGCUACACACGUGCUACAAUGGCCAGUACAAAGCGUCGCAAGCCCGCGAGGGUGAGCCAAUCGCAUAAAGCUGGUCUCAGUUCGGAUUGCAGGCUGCAACUCGCCUGCAUGAAGUUGGAAUCGCUAGUAAUCGCGGAUCAGCAUGCCGCGGUGAAUACGUUCCC
This 399-nucleotide ribosomal RNA is filed under the name uncultured bacterium. Its description in RNAcentral is "bacterial SSU rRNA". It matches the Rfam family "Bacterial small subunit ribosomal RNA", at positions 975 to 1375 of the family's 1533-position model. The record is from RNAcentral.